UUAAGCGACUAAGCGUACACGGUGGAUGCCCUGGCAGUCAGAGGCGAUGAAGGACGUGCUAAUCUGCGAUAAGCGUCGGUAAGGUGAUAUGAACCGUUAUAACCGGCGAUUUCCGAAUGGGGAAACCCAGUGUGUUUCGACACACUAUCAUUAACUGAAUCCAUAGGUUAAUGAGGCGAACCGGGGGAACUGAAACAUCUAAGUACCCCGAGGAAAAGAAAUCAACCGAGAUUCCCCCAGUAGCGGCGAGCGAACGGGGAGCAGCCCAGAGCCUGAAUCAGUGUGUGUGUUAGUGGAAGCGUCUGGAAAGGCGCGCGAUACAGGGUGACAGCCCCGUACACAAAAAUGCACAUAUUGUGAGCUCGAUGAGUAGGGCGGGACACGUGGUAUCCUGUCUGAAUAUGGGGGGACCAUCCUCCAAGGCUAAAUACUCCUGACUGACCGAUAGUGAACCAGUACCGUGAGGGAAAGGCGAAAAGAACCCCGGCGAGGGGAGUGAAAAAGAACCUGAAACCGUGUACGUACAAGCAGUGGGAGCACGCUUCGGCGUGUGACUGCGUACCUUUUGUAUAAUGGGUCAGCGACUUAUAUUCUGUAGCAAGGUUAACCGAAUAGGGGAGCCGAAGGGAAACCGAGUCUUAACUGGGCGUUAAGUUGCAGGGUAUAGACCCGAAACCCGGUGAUCUAGCCAUGGGCAGGUUGAAGGUUGGGUAACACUAACUGGAGGACCGAACCGACUAAUGUUGAAAAAUUAGCGGAUGACUUGUGGCUGGGGGUGAAAGGCCAAUCAAACCGGGAGAUAGCUGGUUCUCCCCGAAAGCUAUUUAGGUAGCGCCUCGUGAAUUCAUCUCCGGGGGUAGAGCACUGUUUCGGCAAGGGGGUCAUCCCGACUUACCAACCCGAUGCAAACUGCGAAUACCGGAGAAUGUUAUCACGGGAGACACACGGCGGGUGCUAACGUCCGUCGUGAAGAGGGAAACAACCCAGACCGCCAGCUAAGGUCCCAAAGUCAUGGUUAAGUGGGAAACGAUGUGGGAAGGCCCAGACAGCCAGGAUGUUGGCUUAGAAGCAGCCAUCAUUUAAAGAAAGCGUAAUAGCUCACUGGUCGAGUCGGCCUGCGCGGAAGAUGUAACGGGGCUAAACCAUGCACCGAAGCUGCGGCAGCGACGCUUAUGCGUUGUUGGGUAGGGGAGCGUUCUGUAAGCCUGCGAAGGUGUGCUGUGAGGCAUGCUGGAGGUAUCAGAAGUGCGAAUGCUGACAUAAGUAACGAUAAAGCGGGUGAAAAGCCCGCUCGCCGGAAGACCAAGGGUUCCUGUCCAACGUUAAUCGGGGCAGGGUGAGUCGACCCCUAAGGCGAGGCCGAAAGGCGUAGUCGAUGGGAAACAGGUUAAUAUUCCUGUACUUGGUGUUACUGCGAAGGGGGGACGGAGAAGGCUAUGUUGGCCGGGCGACGGUUGUCCCGGUUUAAGCGUGUAGGCUGGUUUUCCAGGCAAAUCCGGAAAAUCAAGGCUGAGGCGUGAUGACGAGGCACUACGGUGCUGAAGCAACAAAUGCCCUGCUUCCAGGAAAAGCCUCUAAGCAUCAGGUAACAUCAAAUCGUACCCCAAACCGACACAGGUGGUCAGGUAGAGAAUACCAAGGCGCUUGAGAGAACUCGGGUGAAGGAACUAGGCAAAAUGGUGCCGUAACUUCGGGAGAAGGCACGCUGAUAUGUAGGUGAGGUCCCUCGCGGAUGGAGCUGAAAUCAGUCGAAGAUACCAGCUGGCUGCAACUGUUUAUUAAAAACACAGCACUGUGCAAACACGAAAGUGGACGUAUACGGUGUGACGCCUGCCCGGUGCCGGAAGGUUAAUUGAUGGGGUUAGCGCAAGCGAAGCUCUUGAUCGAAGCCCCGGUAAACGGCGGCCGUAACUAUAACGGUCCUAAGGUAGCGAAAUUCCUUGUCGGGUAAGUUCCGACCUGCACGAAUGGCGUAAUGAUGGCCAGGCUGUCUCCACCCGAGACUCAGUGAAAUUGAACUCGCUGUGAAGAUGCAGUGUACCCGCGGCAAGACGGAAAGACCCCGUGAACCUUUACUAUAGCUUGACACUGAACAUUGAGCCUUGAUGUGUAGGAUAGGUGGGAGGCUUAGAAGUGUGGACGCCAGUCUGCAUGGAGCCGACCUUGAAAUACCACCCUUUAAUGUUUGAUGUUCUAACGUUGACCCGUAAUCCGGGUUGCGGACAGUGUCUGGUGGGUAGUUUGACUGGGGCGGUCUCCUCCUAAAGAGUAACGGAGGAGCACGAAGGUUGGCUAAUCCUGGUCGGACAUCAGGAGGUUAGUGCAAUGGCAUAAGCCAGCUUGACUGCGAGCGUGACGGCGCGAGCAGGUGCGAAAGCAGGUCAUAGUGAUCCGGUGGUUCUGAAUGGAAGGGCCAUCGCUCAACGGAUAAAAGGUACUCCGGGGAUAACAGGCUGAUACCGCCCAAGAGUUCAUAUCGACGGCGGUGUUUGGCACCUCGAUGUCGGCUCAUCACAUCCUGGGGCUGAAGUAGGUCCCAAGGGUAUGGCUGUUCGCCAUUUAAAGUGGUACGCGAGCUGGGUUUAGAACGUCGUGAGACAGUUCGGUCCCUAUCUGCCGUGGGCGCUGGAGAACUGAGGGGGGCUGCUCCUAGUACGAGAGGACCGGAGUGGACGCAUCACUGGUGUUCGGGUUGUCAUGCCAAUGGCACUGCCCGGUAGCUAAAUGCGGAAGAGAUAAGUGCUGAAAGCAUCUAAGCACGAAACUUGCCCCGAGAUGAGUUCUCCCUGACUCCUUGAGAGUCCUGAAGGAACGUUGAAGACGACGACGUUGAUAGGCCGGGUGUGUAAGCGCAGCGAUGCGUUGAGCUAACCGGUACUAAUGAACCGUGAGGCUUAACCUU
RNAcentral lists this ribosomal RNA (2902 nucleotides) under Escherichia coli. RNAcentral describes it as "bacterial LSU rRNA". It matches the Rfam family "Bacterial large subunit ribosomal RNA". The record is from RNAcentral. Lineage: Bacteria; Pseudomonadati; Pseudomonadota; Gammaproteobacteria; Enterobacterales; Enterobacteriaceae.